Long non-coding RNA from Capsicum annuum, 4129 nucleotides. RefSeq lists it as uncharacterized. The transcript is spliced from 2 exons. Lineage: Eukaryota; Viridiplantae; Streptophyta; Magnoliopsida; Solanales; Solanaceae. The record is from RefSeq and is a predicted model, not a curated record.
UCUUCUUUAAUAGAAAAUUUUUGAAGAGUCAUUCCCACUACAAAAGUUACCACGAUUGGUCAUGUCACAUUCAAAUAAUCUAAUCCUAUUAGGUCUACACUGACAAAAACUUUUCCUCUUCUCACAAAUCAAUUCUAAUUUUGCUCCUAUUUAAACCCCAUUUCUCCUAUUGAACCUUAUAAACUAAUAAGAUUUUUGUUCUUACAUUCUUCAUAUCUCUUAUUCCUCCUCACCAAAUGGCUUCAUCUUCCUCCCUCUCCACUUUGUCUUCUCAAGAAAAAAUUGACCCACACUUAUCCUCUUCAAUAGAACUUAUUCCAGUCGAGCCUUUCAUACCCACAAUUCCUCUUGUUCCUAUCUUCAAAAUAUCUGAUUUUAAUGCUUGGAAUAAGUUUUGAGCUAUGAUCUACUCAUUAAAUCAACCCUCAUUCGAACAGUUUCAAGAAAUUGUUCCUAUCCAAACUAUUUCUACUUAUGAACCCCUUGCCUCUGACACCAUUCCAGUAAGGGCCAGAUCUAGACUCAAGAAAUUAUUUGGAGCACCUAUUCUUGUUCCUGAAAGUGAAUUUCUUGAAGAACUUAUUACUUUUUCUAUUCCAAAAUUAACCCCCCACACUCGUAAUCGGAAAAGGCAAGAAGAUGUUAUCCUUGAGAAUGCUCUAAGGGCCACUAAAAAACGUCUCAUUCCUGCUGGUUCUCCAUCUUCAGAGGCUACCUUGUCUGACCCUGAUGAUGACUAUCUUCUAAGUUGGUUUUGCUGUGAUAAAAAGGUCAAAAAUAUUAUCCUAAAAUCCAAUUCUUUUUGCUCCACCCAUUUUUCAUCUUUAUCAAAACCUCCUCCAAAAAAAACUUCUAAAUAUGCACCAAAAGAAUUAACCAAAUCCACACACUCCUCUCACACUCCAAAGAAAUAGGUCACUCCACCUGCUCCAUCAAUUCCUCAAUUUUCCUCUCAAUCCAUUGCUACAUUUAAGCCUAUCUUCCAUCUCUUAAUGACAUAAUCAAAUUUCAAAAGCAAAAAGUGGUGCGAGGUAGAGUUAUUACUAGGUAUGGGGGCCUGAAAUAGUUGUUCUUCUUACCAAAAUUAUUGCACAAGGGUAUUCAACACUUUUCCUUCAAGGAACCACUCAACGAAGGCUAAGAAAGAGAUGACUAAGUUCUAUAUCAAUGGAAAGUUUGAUUGCUCUGUAUUUAUCUCUAAUGUGCUUGGAUUUCAAAUUAAGCUUACUUGUGAUGUUGUGGCUCGUAUUUUGGAUAUUCCUUCUGGAGGUUAGAGUCAUUAUGUGACGUAUGGGUGGCCCCCUCUCCAUACCCUUUACGCAACCUUGAAAAUCACUAGAAAGUUCUCAUACAGCCUACUCUCACUCACCAUCCUACAGUUGAAAAAUAUAAAAUAUCUCAACUACAUCAACUUUAUUUUGAUGUAGUCCAUAAGAUGAUUCUCCAAAGAAAAUAGAGAAAGACUGAGGCAUAUUAUUUGGAUAUGAACUUAAUGGAGCUGCUGGAUUCUGAGAUCAAAAUUGAUCUCUCUAGGCUUGUUUUGAAUCUAUGACACCUCAUAGUUUUCUCGACUUGAUAUCACUUCGUAGUAUGCUUGGAGGGUCAACCUUCUGAAAAUUUUUCUAAGUGUCAAAAGGACUUAUUUACAUUUUGAACCCCUAACCUUUGAUAAUUUUCCUUUUGACCUUUUCGACCUCAGAAAGUUAAUUUUUAAGUUGAUUCAUGAUUGAGGAAGUUAAUAGUAUAUCUCGGGUAAGUCUCAAAAUUUUUGGACAACGUUAGAGGUGUAUUUGGGUGUUGGAAGAAGUGGCCUGAUGCAAAGUCAGCACGCCGUGUCGAUGAAGUAGUGUUGCUUCAAGUCCCUAAUCAAAACCCUAGUCCCUACUUCCCUCUCUCAUUCUCAAGUCCCUAAUCAAAACCCUAGUCCCUAAUCAAAACCUACGUCAAUGAAGUAGUGUUGCUUCAAGUCCCUACUUCCCUCUCUCUAAUCAAAACCCUAGUCCCUCCCCCAUAGAUAAAGAGUUCAUCAUUGAAGUCAAGGAUUUCAAGAACUUAAGUGUGAUUCGGAUUCCACUCUUCCUUCUAAGCAAUCUAAGGAUUUGAGGCUCAGUCUAGAGGUUCUGCUAAGUCGUAGACUUGUUCCAACAGAAGAGAAGUGUGUGUAGUUGGUAAGUCUUCUUUAUUCCGGAAGGCCUAUUUCUUUUCAGUUAGUUGUUAUUUUACUUAGUUUUGGUCCACUGGGGACCUUGUCCUAGAUUUAGACAAGUUAUUGACAUCUUAUGUAGUAAGGAUUUCGCAGAUGAGAAAGAUGUUGUUUAGAUGUUGAAAACUUAUUGUACAUAUUGUCGAGCAGAUUUUAGAUUUAUGACCAUGAUUCCGUUUAUUAUAAUUCCACAUCUUUUAUUUAUUAUUCGAGUAUUGUGCAUGAUUACUAGAUGUAGAAGAGUGAUUGAGCCUCCAUGGUUCGGGGUGCUUGUCACAGCCAGGGCCCCGGCUCGGGUCGUGAUAGAAACACAUGAAUUGAGUGCUUCAUUAGGAUAAAAUGGUCAUUACUUGGAUUAUAGGUUCUAGCUUGGGGAAAUAUUUGAGGAGCUUGAUAUUCCAAUUCUAGUUUGGGAAUAUCAUACCACCAAAGAUGUUAUUGGCAGGGUUCGUUACUCCUCUCUUCCUGAUUCAAUGAGACGCGCAAACACUCCACUUCAACAGGCUCAAAAUGCAUUGGAAGAGAAAAUUAAAUAACUGGACGAAGCUAGGGUUUAUCAUACUUAGGACACUGCUAUACUUAGAGCUAGAAUUGCUGAACUUAAGAAUUAACCGCUCAGGAGAGGGUUACUAAUGCUGCUACUAUUCAUCGUUUGACACAACUGAUAUCACCUUCUCCUUCUGCAUAAUUAGUGUCCUCUCUUAGCUCCCUAGGAUCCCUUGUUUUUGUCUCCUUCCCUCCUAUGCUCAAUUGUGUUUCUUUUCUUUUGGUUUGUUUCUUAGAAAUGUGAUGAUCAUACUUUGGAAAUGAAUGUAAUGAAAUCGUUUGUUUGAAUGUUUUCUAUUACAUCCUUGUUUAUUGCACUUUAAUUUUGAUUGAUAAGUUCUGAUUGUCUUGGUGAUAGCCCCAGUGUCCAUGAGUAGCUUAACUCUUGUUUUUUCUUCUUUCAAUGUUUUGUUUUUCAAUGAUGCCAAAAGAGGUAAAAUUCACCUAGAUUGUACAAUGCUUAUAACCCAACGUCUAACCAGUUUCAUUCUUGUGUCUCUUGCUUAAAUCUUUUAGGAAAUAUGGUGUAUGCCUAGAGGCAUGGUUUAUCAUUAUCAAAAAGGGGGAAUUUAUUGGUGUCUUGAAGUUUUGAUGAAUGAAAAAAAAAGAGUGAAACAUGUUGUUAAAUCUGUUCCACUUUCGAGAGUGAAAGUCCACUGUAUAUGAAGACAAGAAGACUGAAUUAAAGAAGUAGAUAGAUAACUUCAAAUUAACUAUCACGUGUGUAGAUGAAGAUAUUGAGUUUGAUUACAGUACUUGAAGAUAAGAGAGAGAUAUAUUGAUUUGAAGAAGGAGUUCUACUUCAACAAGGAGAUCAACUUCAAGUAGGACUUCUACUUCACAAUAAACACUAAAGAGUAGGGAGUUUCACAGGAUAUAGAAGACACAUCUAAUGAAGGACUCUUUGGAGAGUCGUGUAUAAAUAGAGGGAGUGACUUGCACAGUCACUCACACACUUACAAAGAAAAAGGCAAUUGAAAAAUUGAUUGAGAAGUUCAUGGCUUGAAGAAACACGUAGUUGAACCUAGUUCUUCUACUUAGAAAAUAAGGUGUCGUAGUUUCUAUGUAUUAGAUUUGUUAUUGAGUUCUAACACUGAUAUAAUUCUAGUUUCAGUGAAGUAUAAACUGAAGUAGGAUUUUUGUCUUCAAGUUUGGGAACUCGAAUACUUGGGAACACUUACUUUGAGAGGUUUGUGUGUUUUGUGAAGUAGGGGUUAGAGUUUAUAAUUCCUAGAUUACAUAGUCUUGUAAUUUGUUGUUUGUUGAGGCUUAAAGUUGUUUAGUGAAGUUAGGGGUGAAAUCCUAUAGAGGUACAAGUCAUGGUUUUUUAUACCAUUUUGAGCUGGAUGUUUUUCAUAUAAAAAUUACCGUCUUUUUUGC